RNAcentral lists this unclassified non-coding RNA (332 nucleotides) under soil metagenome. RNAcentral describes it as "partial contains 5.8S ribosomal RNA, internal transcribed spacer 2, and large subunit ribosomal RNA". The stretch from base 1 to 120 matches the Rfam family "5.8S ribosomal RNA", at positions 35 to 154 of the family's 154-position model. The record is from RNAcentral.
GAUGAAGAACGCAGCGAAAUGCGAUAAGUAGUGUGAAUUGCAGAAUUCAGUGAAUCAUCGAAUCUUUGAACGCACAUUGCGCCCUUUGGUAUUCCUUAGGGCAUGCCUGUUCGAGCGUCAUUUAAACCUUCAAGCUAAGCUUGGUGUUGGGUGACUGUCCGCUUCACGGCGGACUCGCCUCAAAAUUAUUGGCGGCCGGUACAUUGGCUUCGAGCGCAGCAGAAACGCGAACUCGGGCCCGUCGUAUUGGCUCCCAGAAGCUAUCUUCACAAUUUUGGCCUCGGAUCAGGUAGGGAUACCCGCUGAACUUAAGCAUAUCAAUAAGCGGAGGA